GACGAACGCUGGCGGCGUGCUUAACACAUGCCAGUCGAACGGAAAGGCCCUGCUUUUGUGGGGUGCUCGAGUGGCGAACGGGUGAGUAACACGUGAGUAACCUGCCCUUGACUUUGGGAUAACUUCAGGAAACUGGGGCUAAUACCGGAUAGGAGCUCCUGCUGCAUGGUGGGGGUUGGAAAGUUUCGGCGGUUGGGGAUGGACUCGCGGCUUAUCAGCUUGUUGGUGGGGUAGUGGCUUACCAAGGCUUUGACGGGUAGCCGGCCUGAGAGGGUGACCGGCCACAUUGGGACUGAGAUACGGCCCAGACUCCUACGGGAGGCAGCAGUGGGGAAUAUUGCACAAUGGGCUGAAGCCUGAUGCAGCAACGCCGCGUGCGGGAUGACGGCCUUCGGGUUGUAAUCCGCUGUCGCCUGUGACGAAGCGUGAGUGACGGUAAUGGGUAAAGAAGCACCGGCUAACUACGUG
This 468-nucleotide ribosomal RNA is filed under the name uncultured bacterium. RNAcentral's name for it is "partial 16S ribosomal RNA". It matches the Rfam family "Bacterial small subunit ribosomal RNA", at positions 28 to 507 of the family's 1533-position model. The record is from RNAcentral.